RNAcentral lists this ribosomal RNA (271 nucleotides) under uncultured prokaryote. Its description in RNAcentral is "partial 16S ribosomal RNA". It matches the Rfam family "Bacterial small subunit ribosomal RNA", at positions 524 to 794 of the family's 1533-position model. The record is from RNAcentral.
UACGUAGGUGGCAAGCGUUAUCCGGAAUUAUUGGGCGUAAAGAGCGCGCAGGUGGUUGAUUAAGUCUGAUGUGAAAGCACACGGCUUAACCGUGUGAGGUAAUUAGAAACUACAGGUCUAGAGAGUGGUAGAGGUAAAUGGAAUUCCAAGUGGAGCGGUGAAAUGCGUAGAGAUUUGGAGGAACACCAGUGGCGAAGGCGGUUUACUGGGCCACAUCUGACGCUGAUGUACGAAAGCGUGGGGAGCAAACAGGAUUAGAUACCCCGGUAGU